Molecule: ribosomal RNA, 490 nt
Filed under: uncultured bacterium
Lineage: Bacteria
Description: partial 16S ribosomal RNA
Rfam family: Bacterial small subunit ribosomal RNA
Source: RNAcentral
AUUGAACGCUGGCGGCAUGCCUUACACAUGCAAGUCGAACGGCAGCAUGAUCUAGCUUGCUAGAUUGAUGGCGAGUGGCGAACGGGUGAGUAAUACAUCGGAACGUGCCCUGUAGUGGGGGAUAACUAGUCGAAAGAUUAGCUAAUACCGCAUACGACCUGAGGGUGAAAGUGGGGGACCGCAAGGCCUCAUGCUAUAGGAGCGGCCGAUGUCUGAUUAGCUAGUUGGUGAGGUAAAGGCUCACCAAGGUGACGAUCAGUAGCUGGUCUGAGAGGACGAUCAGCCACACUGGGACUGAGACACGGCCCAGACUCCUACGGGAGGCAGCAGUGGGGAAUUUUGGACAAAGGGCGAAAGCCUGAUCCAGCAAUGCCGCGUGUGUGAAGAAGGCCUUCGGGUUGUAAAGCACUUUUGUCCGGAAAGAAAUGGCUCUGGUUAAUACCUGGGGUCGAUGACGGUACCGGAAGAAUAAGGACCGGCUAACUACGUG